Molecule: ribosomal RNA, 497 nt
Filed under: uncultured bacterium
Lineage: Bacteria
Description: partial 16S ribosomal RNA
Rfam family: Bacterial small subunit ribosomal RNA
Source: RNAcentral
GAUGAACGCUGGCGGCGUGCCUAAUACAUGCAAGUCGAGCGAACAGAUGAGGAGCUUGCUCCUCUGACGUUAGCGGCGGACGGGUGAGUAACACGUGGAUAACCUACCUAUAAGACUGGGAUAACUUCGGGAAACCGGAGCUAAUACCGGAUAAUAUUUUGAACCGCAUGGUUCAAUAGUGAAAGACGGUUUUGCUGUCACUUAUAGAUGGAUCCGCGCCGCAUUAGCUAGUUGGUAAGGUAACGGCUUACCAAGGCAACGAUGCGUAGCCGACCUGAGAGGGUGAUCGGCCACACUGGAACUGAGACACGGUCCAGACUCCUACGGGAGGCAGCAGUAGGGAAUCUUCCGCAAUGGGCGAAAGCCUGACGGAGCAACGCCGCGUGAGUGAUGAAGGUCUUCGGAUCGUAAAACUCUGUUAUUAGGGAAGAACAAAUGUGUAAGUAACUAUGCACGUCUUGACGGUACCUAAUCAGAAAGCCACGGCUAACUACGUG